UCUGUAAAGUUCCUUCGACGAGUCGAGUUAGUUGGAAACGCUGCUCUAAAUGGGAGGUAUAUGUCUUCUAAAGCUAAAUACCCGCCAGAGACCGAUAGCGCACAAGUAGAGUGAUCGAAAGAUGAAAAGCACUUUGAAAAGAGAGUUAAAAAGUACGUGAAAUUGUUGAAAGGGAAGCGUUUAUGACCAGACUUGGGCUUGGUUAAUCAUCUGGGGUUCUCCCCAGUGCACUUUUCCAGUCCAGGCCAGCAUCAGUUUUCCCCGGGGGAUAAAGACUUCGGGAAUGUGGCUCUCUUCGGGGAGUGUUAUAGCCCGUUGUGUAAUACCCUGGGGGGGACUGAGGUUCGCGCAUCUGCAAGGAUGCUGGCGUAAUGGUCAUCAACGACCCGUCUUGAAACACGGACCAAGGAGUCGUCUUCGUAUGCGAGUGUUCGGGUGUCAAACCCCUACGCGUAAUGAAAGUGAACGCAGGUGAGAGCUUCGGCGCAUCAUCGACCGAUCCUGAUGUUCUCGGAUGGAUUUGAGUAAGAGCAUACGGGGCCGGACCCGAAAGAAGGUGAACUAUGCCUGUAUAGGGUGAAGCCAGAGGAAACUCUGGUGGAGGCUCGCAGCGGUUCUGACGUGCAAAU
This 629-nucleotide ribosomal RNA is filed under the name Fusarium fujikuroi. RNAcentral describes it as "eukaryotic LSU rRNA". It matches the Rfam family "Eukaryotic large subunit ribosomal RNA", at positions 243 to 898 of the family's 3401-position model. The record is from RNAcentral. Lineage: Eukaryota; Fungi; Ascomycota; Sordariomycetes; Hypocreales; Nectriaceae.